UUGGAGGGCAAGUCUGGUGCCAGCAGCCGCGGUAAUUCCAGCUCCAAUAGCGUAUAUUAAAGUUGUUGCAGUUAAAAAGCUCGUAGUUGAAUUUCGGGAUCAAUAUUCCGGUCAUGCCGUUGGUAUGCACUGUUAUCAUUGAUUUCUCACCUUCUAAAGAACCGUGAUGCCAUUAAUUUGGUGUUACGGGGAAUUAGGACUGUUACCUUGAAAAAAUUAGAGUGUUUAAAGCAGGCUCACGCUUGAAUACAUUAGCAUGGAAUAAUGAAAUAGGACAUCCGAUUCUAUUUUGUUGGUUUCUAGGAUCGAUGUAAUGAUUAAUAGGGAUAGUUGGGGGCAUUAGUAUUCAAUUGUCAGAGGUGAAAUUCUUGGAUUUAUUGAAGACUAACUACUGCGAAAGCAUUUGCCAAGGAUGUUUUCAUUAAUCAAGAACGAAAGUUAGGGGAUCGAAGACGAUCAGAUACCGUCGUAGUCUUAACCAUAAACUAUGCCGACUAGGGAUCGGAUGAUGUUAAUUUUUUAAUGACUCAUUCGGCGCCUUACGGGAAAC
This 550-nucleotide ribosomal RNA is filed under the name Funneliformis mosseae. RNAcentral describes it as "SSU rRNA". It matches the Rfam family "Eukaryotic small subunit ribosomal RNA", at positions 548 to 1098 of the family's 1831-position model. The record is from RNAcentral. Lineage: Eukaryota; Fungi; Glomeromycota; Glomeromycetes; Glomerales; Glomeraceae. RNAcentral also lists the same sequence under 1 other name.